Molecule: non-coding RNA, 1409 nt
Organism: Chrysemys picta bellii (western painted turtle)
Lineage: Eukaryota; Metazoa; Chordata; Testudines; Emydidae
Source: RefSeq, a predicted model, not a curated record
GAUAUGGACCAGAACCUUGUAAUGAAAUGGCCUGGCAGGGUCCAGAUUCAUAUUCCCAGAUCAGAACUUGUCUCUAUUUUGGCAGAUCCCAAAACAUUGAGACCGUUACAGGACUACAGACGAGGGAGCCAGGAGAGGAGGCUGCCACACUCAUGGGUGAAGACAUUGGCAGCAUUACUUGUGGCUUCUACACAGCGAGGAGUCACCUUGGGUGGAGACACUAGGCAUCAGAAAUGAACCCAGGAUGCAAGUGAGGAUUGGGUACAAGACACUCUAAGUAGCAAGCCAGUGGGAGGAAAUCUGAGCCAUUCCUUGGGGGAAUGGCUACAACAACAAGCAUUAACACCUCUUUCUCCUUUCCAGCAACAGAAGAUACAUAUUCACCCUUUUGUCAUUAGUAACUAAACAACUAUAGAUAACAGACGUAAGAAGCUAGUCAAUAGUACGGAAUCUAACACUAUGUAUCAAGAGUCUAUCAUUGCGUCCUGCAAUCAGAGUACAACUGUGAGGCAGUAACAUACAAAUUCUUUAUUCAGCUGUGUAUUGUAAACAUCAAGUUUGAAUGGACGAAAUGUAUAGUCUUUAAACAUAGGUUAAUUUACCAGGUGAAUAUAUAGCACUGUGUAAAUUAACAUGAUUUAUUUACAAACAAGUGGCAUAUUAGAUAAUCAAUGUGAUUAGCUGUUUUUUUCUUCUUGAACUCCAGAUCCACCCCUGCUCACAACCUGACCCCCAUGGACUGUAUCAGAAGCCAGCCUUACUGAUGAUGCCCAUGUCAAAACAAAACAUAGCUUUUUGUUACCACAGUGUUGUAAAAUCAGUGACUAACUCUUAUGCUGAAUGCAAAGAUGUGACAAAUCUAUUUCCCCUCCCCAUUUUGGUUAUUAGAGACAAUGAGAUCUUAUACAUGGCUUCUGAGAUCUUUAAAUAGAAAUUAUUAAUGCAUGCCCCUACUGCUUUUUCAUGACAUCUUGCAACAGAGCUUAUAUUUUUAAAAAUACCUAUAGUUUACCCAAAACUUUUUGAUCUGGGAAUCAUGCUGUGAAAUCUAGCUCUUGUCAUUAUUUCUGGGACUUUCUUGUUUCAUGUGUGCAGAAAGAUAGCAGAACGGUCUCGUGUGGUAUUAUAAUACUUCUGUUUCCAAAAUAAAUCUAAGUGCAAAGAAGGCCAAAAAUUUUAAGUUAACCAAACACUUUAUAUGAAACAAUUCCGUUAAAUGUAAGGAACCGGGAAGUCACAGUGGAUAGUGGAUAGUGCACCAGACUGACAGUUGGGAAGCCCCUGAAGUUUUAUUCACAUUUCUGCAAUUGAUGUGUGACGUUGUGCCGUCUAUAUGGUUUUAUAAAAACAUGAUAAUAAGUGAAUAUAAUGUAACUGGGAGAGUUUUAGAAAAAAUAUGGUAAAAAGUG